Molecule: ribosomal RNA, 254 nt
Filed under: uncultured bacterium
Lineage: Bacteria
Description: partial 16S ribosomal RNA
Rfam family: Bacterial small subunit ribosomal RNA
Source: RNAcentral
UACGUAGGGGGCGAGCGUUACCCGGAUUUACUGGGCGUAAAGAGCGUGUAGGCGGCUGGCCAAGCGUGAUGUGAAAUCUUCGGGCUUAACCCGAAAACUGCAUUGCGAACUGGUCUGGCUAGAGUGUGUGAGAGGGUAGUGGAAUUCCCGGUGUAGCGGUGAAAUGCGUAGAUAUCGGGAGGAGCACCAGUGGCGAAGGCGGCUACCUGGCACAUAACUGACGCUGAUACGCGAAAGCGUGGGGAGCGAACCGG